RNAcentral lists this ribosomal RNA (468 nucleotides) under uncultured bacterium. Its description in RNAcentral is "partial 16S ribosomal RNA". It matches the Rfam family "Bacterial small subunit ribosomal RNA", at positions 28 to 507 of the family's 1533-position model. The record is from RNAcentral.
GACGAACGCUGGCGGCGUGCUUAACACAUGCAAGUCGAACGGAAAGGCCCUGCUUUUGUGGGGUGCUCGAGUGGCGAACGGGUGAGUAACACGUGAGUAACCUGCCCUUGACUUUGGGAUAACUUCAGGAAACUGGGGCUAAUACCGGAUAGGAGCUCCUGCUGCAUGGUGGGGGUUGGAAAGUUUCGGCGGUUGGGGAUGGACUCGCGGCUUAUCAGCUUGUUGGUGGGGUAGUGGCUUACCAAGGCUUUGACGGGUAGCCGGCCUGAGAGGGUGACCGGCCACAUUGGGACUGAGAUACGGCCCAGACUCCUACGGGAGGCAGCAGUGGGGAUUAUUGCACAAUGGGCGGAAGCCUGAUGCAACAACGCCGCGUGCGGGAUGACGGCCUUCGGGUUGUAAACCGCUUUCGCCUGUGACGAAGCGUGAGUGACGGUAAUGGGUAAAGAAGCACCGGCUAACUACGUG